This 332-nucleotide long non-coding RNA is filed under the name Medicago truncatula (barrel medic). RNAcentral describes it as "lncRNA gene47376". Lineage: Eukaryota; Viridiplantae; Streptophyta; Magnoliopsida; Fabales; Fabaceae. The record is from RNAcentral.
GCAGGGAUGUCAAUUGAAAUUUUUGUAAGAAUAUUAGUGCAAUUUUUUCUUCAUAUUUUAGGGUUAGAUGCAUUAGAUUUCAGCUGAACGUAACGAGCCAAGUCGAGUUGUUUGUAAACUUAAAAUGAGCCGAACUCAAACUAAAAAAAAGGUUUGUUUCGAACUCGAGUCGAACCAAUUCUUAUCGAGUCGAGCUUAGACAGGUUCGGUUCGAUUCGACUCAUUUUCAGCCCUAGUUCAUGCCCUUGGAUCUGGAAUGUUGAUGCCUAAAUUAUUGAUUGAAUAUGUAAUUGACAGAAGCCGAUAUUUCAACAGAACCAAACUAACACAAG